This 440-nucleotide long non-coding RNA is filed under the name Monodelphis domestica (gray short-tailed opossum). RNAcentral describes it as "lncRNA (ENSMODG00000042793.1)". Lineage: Eukaryota; Metazoa; Chordata; Mammalia; Didelphimorphia; Didelphidae. The record is from RNAcentral.
ACCAAUCCCAUGCCAGGAAGUGGGGGGUGGGGGGGUGGGAAGGACCCUUGGGGCAUGCCGGGAAAUGCGCUCCCCAGCUAGGAUGCCGUUUGAAACUCACAAGGGUAAGUUACUUGUCUGGUGUCACUCAGUGUCUAAGGACACAUUUGAACUUGAGUUUUCCUGACUCUAGGCUCAGCAUUCUAUCCACUGUGCCACCUAGCUGCCCAAUAAAUAUUAAAGGAGAAUGAAAGAAGGGACUGCUUUGAUGGGAGGUUUCCAUACCGGGCAUAUCACAUCUCCUUGGAAGAGCAGUAAUCAGAGCUAUCACUAACACAGAACUUCCAGGAAUUUGUUUGCAGAGAAUUUACAUACUAUCAAGGCGCACAUUUCUUCUCCUAAAGGGUACAAUUACUGAGCCUCAAGACCUGUUGAAUCAAGAGGAAAACAGAGGGCACUGA